GGUUGUGGCUCAGUGGUGGGGUGCCAGCCUGGCAUGCGCGAGGCACUGGAUUCGAUCUUCAGAACCA
RNAcentral lists this transfer RNA (67 nucleotides) under Marmota monax (woodchuck). RNAcentral describes it as "tRNA.Ala". Lineage: Eukaryota; Metazoa; Chordata; Mammalia; Rodentia; Sciuridae. The record is from RNAcentral.